CAGCCGCCGCGGGAAUACGUAGGUGGCAAGCGUUGUCCGGAAUUAUUGGGCGUAAAGGGCUCGCAGGCGGUUUCUUAAGUCUGAUGUGAAAGCCCCCGGCUCAACCGGGGAGGGUCAUUGGAAACUGGGAAGCUUGAGUGCAGAAGAGGAGAGCGGAAUUCCACGUGUAGCGGUGAAAUGCGUAGAGAUGAGGAGGAACACCAGUGGCGAAGGCGUCUCUCUGGUCUGUAACUGACGCUGAGGAGCGAAAGCGUGGGGAGCGAACAGGAUUAGAUACCCCCGUAGUCCCUGUCUCUUAUAC
RNAcentral lists this ribosomal RNA (301 nucleotides) under uncultured bacterium. Its description in RNAcentral is "partial 16S ribosomal RNA". It matches the Rfam family "Bacterial small subunit ribosomal RNA", at positions 509 to 807 of the family's 1533-position model. The record is from RNAcentral.